Molecule: long non-coding RNA, 585 nt
Organism: Mustela lutreola (European mink)
Lineage: Eukaryota; Metazoa; Chordata; Mammalia; Carnivora; Mustelidae
Exons: 3
Source: RefSeq, a predicted model, not a curated record
GGCAGGAGUAUGGUUAGAAGCUCAGACAGAAGCCAAACUAUUCCACGAAAGGAAGGAGAGCCCUGGAAGGGGGGGUCCAUGGGAAGAGUCAGGACUGGCAGGAGAAGAGUGAGCUGUCACUUGCGCAGGUACAAAGCCCCCGUGCUACCAAGCUUUGUGCUUCAAGAGAACCAGUUCGCCCCGGUUGAGCUAAUGUUGGCGGAACCAAUGAAGUUACUCAGUCAGGAGUCUCCAUAUUGGAUGGUGACUGAUCGAUCCAGUGAAACCCUUUCUUCUUGGGAAGGUUGAAGAUGCCACCCUUCCCCCUACCACCCACUGCUUGAACAUGCAGAGUCACAACUCCCUGCAGCCAGAAAGAAGGGGACCCACACGGCCCCUGGUCCCGCCACCCCUGUCAGAAGAGGACCGCUGCCUAGCUUGGCAAGUCUUGUCUCGGGAGCCUCUCUAGCCCCCAGGGCUUGCCCGGCUCACCCACCAUCUGUUGGAUGAUUCACGCCUGGCUGGAAGCAAAGUCGAGGCUCGAUUUGGGUCUUGGGACUUGAAUUUGUUCCAAAAUCAAAGGUGUCAAGCUGAGUGGCCUUAAAA